This 87-nucleotide transfer RNA is filed under the name Pseudomonadota bacterium. It matches the Rfam family "tRNA". From Rfam's summary of the family: Transfer RNA (tRNA) molecules are approximately 80 nucleotides in length. Their secondary structure includes four short double-helical elements and three loops (D, anti-codon, and T loops). Lineage: Bacteria; Pseudomonadati; Pseudomonadota. The record is from Rfam by way of RNAcentral.
GGAGGAAUGGCAGAGCGGUUUAAUGCGGCAGUCUUGAAAACUGUUGAGGGGGCGACUCCUCCGGGGGUUCGAAUCCCUCUUCCUCCG